GUACACACCGCCCGUCACACCAUGGGAGUUGGCUUUACCUGAAGACGGUGCGCUAACCGCAAGGAGGCAGCCGGCCACGGUAGGGUCAGCGACUGGGGCGAAGUCGUAACAAGGUAKCCGUAGGUGAACCUGCAGAAGGAUCA
RNAcentral lists this ribosomal RNA (143 nucleotides) under uncultured eukaryote. RNAcentral describes it as "partial small subunit ribosomal RNA". The record is from RNAcentral.